UAAAUUAUACAGUACUUCAUACAAAAUAAUCCAGUCAAAAUUAUUUUAAAGGUCACAGCUGUACACAUUCCAUUGCUGUGUUUAAAAUUAUGAGGAUGACAGGCAUAGAAAUGAGCACUGAAGAUAUCCAACAGGAAGGAUAUCUCAUAUGAUCUAUCUCUUCUAGGAAAUUUUGUCUUUUAACAACAGUUUAUGGAAAAUACUUCUUGAAACUUUUCACCAAAGCUUUGCAAAAGUGGUAGUUAAUGAAGCAGGACUCCAAAACCUCCAUUCAGCAGAAUACAACUCCAACUCAUAAUGUUUAAAAAGGUUUUUAAAGUUAUAAUUGAAUUGUUAGCUAAUAUAACUACAUGCAGUAAUGAAAGGAAAAAUGCAGAACGUCCACUGUUGCUUUCAAUGGGCUAGUUAUAUAAGCAUCAUCUACUCUGGUGUUAAAGAUAAAAUCAUUCUUUAUCUCACAAAACUCUUUAAAAGGACAAAAUGCAUUUAAAAAUAGAGAAAUACUAAUGAAAUGAUUAAAAUGGAGAAAUAAUUCAUUAGUAUGUGUAUAGAAUGUGUACAAUCACAUAUUUUAUACACGUGUAUAAGAAUAUAGUCUGUAUGACAAAAUUAAAUUGCUCAAUUUAGCCUUCUAGUUGGUAGAUCCAUUAUAGCUAAAAUAGUUGUCUAUUAGGUCUUUGAAACAAAACAGAAUACAGCAUUUUGGACAAGUAGAACAAAAGGUGAAAAACUGUUCUUUGGUAUUCUUCCUUUCCCUAUAAAAAUGGUUAAAAUCCUCACAUACUGCCCAGCUUCUUUAUGCUGAAGAGUACUAUGGUCUGGAUUUUUCCCAAAGGUAAGAUGCUGUGGCGACAGGCUUAUCCAACCACAUCCUACUCUUCUGGGGCUGCCCUCGGCCAUCUGCUAUGCCCGUAUACGGACUCUCAAUAUUUGUUUAAAUAGCCUGCUCCUGGACAAUUUAAAUGACUUAAAAAAAUUACUGAUUUUAUGUUUUUGUGACUUUUAAUGUAUUUUUAAAAAUGUUAGCUGCCCUGAUCCCAUCUGAGGGGAGGGCGGGGUAUAAAUCAAAUAAAUAAAUAAGUAGUUGGCUUACAUUGAAAGCCCUCCCCCCAUUAAGCAACCCUACAAAUGACAUGCACCCAUGUCCUCAUCUGGAUGUUGUUGCAAAAUAUGGUGGAAGAAGGAACAUGAGCAGCCCAUAACUAAGAAAGAAGCAGCUCACUGUCAGGCUGCUAUAAAGAUAUUAGGAACUACUCUUUGGGUGUGUGAUGUGUGUGGAAGCCUCAGUGCUCAAAAAACCACAUCUUGAGUCCCCACCCCUUAAUGAAACAUAUACGUAUCUAGUGACUGAUACCCUUUUUACACACCAUGCAUCUGUAUGUACUCACCAAAGACUGGAACACAAAAAUUAUUUUAUUGGUGGAAAGCUAGUUGCUUCUCCUUGAAUUAUGUUAUCGCCAGAUGUAUAAAAGCUUCCUAAUUAGCAAUUGCACACUUCUGAGUUUCAAAGCUUUUCAAAACUUAUGCCUUUAUUGGAUACAGCCUUCCUUUUGCUACUUAGUAGAAUAAAAUAUGUAUAUUACUCUUUACAAAUACAGAACCUCUCAUUCAGAGAUCACAAAAGCGCUUCUCAAUUUGCUUGAUUGUUCUGUAACAUUUCCUCCAUUACAAAAAUGCAUGACAAAUUAUUUAUUUUAAUGUAACUAAAACAACAUUACAUUUUCAUUUCAUUCAUGUUAAGUGUCCAAUUUCAUUCUUGUGUUUCUGUUUCCAGAAAGCAGCUCAUUCUGUUUAUUAUGUUGACAGAAGUUGAAGCAAAAGGGAAAACAAGGUUGCACCUACCUGUAACUGUUGUUUAUUGAGUGUUCUAUACAGACACACAUGGAAACUGCACAUGCGCAGUAGCCACAGACAUAUCGAAGCUCCAAAAGGCGCAAGAUGCUCACCCGACCUUUUUGCACGCUUUUUGAGUGGCUGCAGCUAUAAAAGGUGGGGCGAACGGAUCCCUCCCUCAGUUCACUAAUCCUGAAGAAGGAGAAAUUAAAGAGCACAUGGCAGGAAAAGGAGGGAGGGAUGUGUGCCUGCACAGAACAUUCAAUGAACAACAGUUACAGGCGAGUAGAGACCCGGAGAUCCUUCCAUGCCAUAGGCGUAGUAACGGUAGGAAACUCAUAGGGGUAUGGAACCCAUAGGUGCCUGUGACUUCUAAUGAUCUUUUCUGUGCAGGACGCACUGGGGACAGCAGUAACGGAGAUAAAGCCACUCCUAGAUUCAUGAAGUCUGGAAUCUUGCCCUCUAGGAAGACAGGAACCGAAGCAGAACGGCAUCUAGACAUCGACAAAGGUGUUCUUGGAGCUGCAGGGCGGCUGGACACCACCGAGGUGGAUUAAGCCAAGCUGAGGACUGUUUUUUCUUUUGCGGUUUCGGAGUCAGGUGUUUUUCAGUAUGCCUUGACUUCAGCUUGGCUUUCUUUGACAGCAGCUUGGAUGAAGACCAAAAUGGGCUCGAAUCCUUAGGAACUGACUGGUUCAUAUUGUCGGCACUUGGAGCCAAAACGAGAGAAUCGAGGAGGAGCUUGAAGCAUGUCCUUCAGCAGUGGCUAAGGAACUGAGGGAGGGAUCCGCUUGCCCACCUUUUAUAACUUGCACUCACGCUAAAAGGCUGGGUGAGUGUCUUGCACCUUUUGGAGCUUUGAUACGUCCAUGGCUGGCCUGCGCAUGCGCAGUUCCCAUGGGUGCCUG
Molecule: long non-coding RNA, 2741 nt
Organism: Eublepharis macularius
Lineage: Eukaryota; Metazoa; Chordata; Lepidosauria; Squamata; Eublepharidae
Exons: 2
Source: RefSeq, a predicted model, not a curated record